Molecule: unclassified non-coding RNA, 149 nt
Filed under: soil metagenome
Description: partial internal transcribed spacer 1
Source: RNAcentral
CCGAGUUUACAACUCCCAAACCCCUGUGAACAUACCUAUACGUUGCCUCGGCGGAUCAGCCCGCGCCCCGUAAAACGGGACGGCUCGCCAGAGGACCCCUAAACUCUGUUUCUAUAGUGGAACUUCUGAGUAAAACCAUAAAUAAAUCA